RNAcentral lists this unclassified non-coding RNA (325 nucleotides) under uncultured Clavariaceae. Its description in RNAcentral is "sequence contains 5.8S rRNA gene". The record is from RNAcentral. Lineage: Eukaryota; Fungi; Basidiomycota; Agaricomycetes; Agaricales; Clavariaceae.
GAACGCACAUUGCACCCUCUGGUAUUCCGGGAGGGUAUGCCUGUUUGAGUGUCAUUAAUAUAUCAACACAGACAAGUUUUUCAUGACUUGAUCUGCUGCUUGGAUGUUGAAGGCUUGCUGGCAUUGACAUUUUCUGUCAGCUCCUUUUAAAUUCAUUAGCAGGAACAUUGCAGGACUGGCUUCAGUUUGAUAAGAUUGAACUGUUGCCGGAAUGCGCUUUUGUUGUUCCAGCUUCUAGUUGUCUGGUAAAACCGGACUGUCUCGCUUCGAGGCAUAUCUUUUUGACUUGACCUCAAAUCAGGUAGGACUACCCGCUGAACUUAAG